This 492-nucleotide ribosomal RNA is filed under the name uncultured bacterium. Its description in RNAcentral is "partial 16S ribosomal RNA". It matches the Rfam family "Bacterial small subunit ribosomal RNA", at positions 29 to 507 of the family's 1533-position model. The record is from RNAcentral.
AGUGAACGCUGGCGGUAGGCCUAACACAUGCAAGUCGAACGGCAGCACAGUAAGAGCUUGCUCUUACGGGUGGCGAGUGGCGGACGGGUGAGGAAUACAUCGGAAUCUACUUUUUCGUGGGGGAUAACGUAGGGAAACUUACGCUAAUACCGCAUACGACCUACGGGUGAAAGCAGGGGAUCUUCGGACCUUGCGCGAUUGAAUGAGCCGAUGUCGGAUUAGCUAGUUGGCGGGGUAAAGGCCCACCAAGGCGACGAUCCGUAGCUGGUCUGAGAGGAUGAUCAGCCACACUGGAACUGAGACACGGUCCAGACUCCUACGGGAGGCAGCAGUGGGGAAUAUUGGACAAUGGGCGCAAGCGUGAUCCAGCCGUACCGCGUGGGUGAAGAAGGCCUUCGGGUUGUAAAGCCCUUUUGUUGGGAAAGAAAAGCAGCAGGUUAAUACCCCGCUGUUCUGACGGUACCCAAAGAAUAAGCACCGGCUAACUUCGUG